RNAcentral lists this ribosomal RNA (253 nucleotides) under uncultured bacterium. Its description in RNAcentral is "partial 16S ribosomal RNA". It matches the Rfam family "Bacterial small subunit ribosomal RNA", at positions 524 to 776 of the family's 1533-position model. The record is from RNAcentral.
UACGAAGGGGGCUAGCGUUGUUCGGAAUUACUGGGCGUAAAGCGCGCGCAGGCGGUUCUUCAAGUCAGAGGUGAAAGCCCAGAGCUCAACUCUGGAAUGGCCUUUGAGACUAGAGAACUUGGGUACGGGAGAGGUGAGUGGAAUUCCGAGUGUAGAGGUGAAAUUCGUAGAUAUUCGGGAGAACACCAGUGGCGAAGGCGGCUCACUGGCCCGUUACCGACGCUCAGGCGCGACAGCGUGGGGAGCAAACAGG